RNAcentral lists this long non-coding RNA (229 nucleotides) under Trifolium pratense (red clover). RNAcentral describes it as "long non-coding RNA (TPRA_LNC004170)". The record is from RNAcentral. Lineage: Eukaryota; Viridiplantae; Streptophyta; Magnoliopsida; Fabales; Fabaceae.
GAAAUUCCACCUUAUGGAUGAAUAAAUAGUGUCUCGGAUUCUAACCCAACCUGUACCAACUAAGCUAAAUUUCAUGAAAUGAAAUAAUUUUAAUUGAGUGUUAAACUUAAAAUAUCCGUUCGUUCCGUUUGGUGUUGUCGUGUUUCGUUCUUAGAGGCUGAGAAAGGACUGUGUUAUGGUAGUGUCGAACCCAUCCUACUGAAACGCGACGUCGUUUUGUUCAUUUCAU